Colobus angolensis palliatus is the source of this 119-nucleotide ribosomal RNA. NCBI's taxonomy places the organism in Eukaryota, Metazoa, Chordata, Mammalia, Primates, Cercopithecidae. The record is from Ensembl.
AUCUACAGCCAUACCACCCUGAACACGCCCAAUCUCAUCUGAUCUCGGGAGCUAAGCAGGGUCAGGCCUGGUUAGUACUUGGCUGGAAGACCGCCAGGAAAUACCAGGUGCUGUAGGCU